RNAcentral lists this ribosomal RNA (253 nucleotides) under uncultured bacterium. RNAcentral describes it as "partial 16S ribosomal RNA". It matches the Rfam family "Bacterial small subunit ribosomal RNA", at positions 524 to 776 of the family's 1533-position model. The record is from RNAcentral.
UACGGGGGGAGCAAGCGUUGUUCGGAAUUACUGGGCGUAAAGGGCGCGUAGGCGGCGCGGUAAGCGUGCGGUGAAAGCCCGGGGCUCAACCCCGGGUCGGCCGUGCGGACUGCCGGGCUGGAGCACUGUAGAGGCAGGUGGAAUUCCGGGUGUAGCGGUGGAAUGCGUAGAGAUCCGGAAGAACACCGGUGGCGAAGGCGGCCUGCUGGGCAGUAGCUGACGCUGAAGCGCGACAGCGUGGGGAGCAAACAGG